RNAcentral lists this ribosomal RNA (484 nucleotides) under uncultured bacterium. Its description in RNAcentral is "partial 16S ribosomal RNA". It matches the Rfam family "Bacterial small subunit ribosomal RNA", at positions 28 to 523 of the family's 1533-position model. The record is from RNAcentral.
GACGAACGCUGGCGGCGUGCUUAACACAUGCAAGUCGAACGGAAAGGCCCUGCUUUUGUGGGGUGCUCGAGUGGCGAACGGGUGAGUAACACGUGAGUAACCUGCCCUUGACUUUGGGAUAACUUCAGGAAACUGGGGCUAAUACCGGAUAGGAGCUCCUGCUGCAUGGUGGGGGUUGGAAAGUUUCGGCGGUUGGGGAUGGACGCGCGGCUUAGCAGCUUGUUGGUGGGGUAGUGGCUUGCCAAGGCUUUGGCGGGUAGCCGGCCUGAGAGGGGGACCGGCCACAUUGGGACUGGGAUACGGCCCAGACUCCUACGGGAGGCAGCAGUGGGGAAUAUUGCACAAUGGGCGGAAGCCUGAUGCAGCAACGCCGCGUGCGGGAUGACGGCCUUCGGGUUGUAAACCGCUUUCGCCUGUGACGAAGCGUGAGUGACGGUAAUGGGUAAAGAAGCACCGGCUAACUACGUGCCAGCAGCCGCGGUAA